AGGACGAACGCUGGCGGCGUGCUUAACACAUGCAAGUCGAGCGGUAAGGCCUCUUCGGGGGUACACGAGCGGCGAACGGGUGAGUAACACGUGGGUGACCUGCCCUCAGCUCUGGGAUAAGCCUGGGAAACUGGGUCUAAUACUGGAUAUGACUGCGCAUCGCAUGAUGUGUGGUGGAAAGUUUUUUCGGCUGGGGAUGGGCCCGCGGCCUAUCAGCUUGUUGGUGGGGUGAUGGCCUACCAAGGCGACGACGGGUA
RNAcentral lists this ribosomal RNA (257 nucleotides) under uncultured bacterium. RNAcentral describes it as "partial small subunit ribosomal RNA". It matches the Rfam family "Bacterial small subunit ribosomal RNA", at positions 26 to 285 of the family's 1533-position model. The record is from RNAcentral.